GAACGCGGGAUUAGUAAAAUUAAACCAAUUACCAAUUAUUAGGGAAAUACAGAAUAUGUUUCCAUUUGUUUUCACAGAUGCAACACUGCAUAAUAAUAAUAAUAAUAAUAAUAAUAAUAUUCUUUAUUAACCGAACCUACUAACCGAUUUAACAAUUAAAAUUUCUUUUUCCUCGCAAGUGUGUUGAAAAACGUCGUAUGAAACGCGUGUGCGUCAUCCAACUUAGCACACAUGUAUCAACAAUGUACUAUUACAUUAGACAUUAUCUAGUUUUAGAAGACAUAGAAAACACUUUUCAAAGAUACAGCUUACUUUCAAAAUGAAUUAUAGCAAAAUUACCAUAAAAGUUUCUAAGAAUCUCAUCGUACGUACUAAAACGCCACAACGCGAUUGGUUGAUGAGUUCGCAUCACGCGCGCGAUUCAUCGCAACUAUGUAGUUGCGUUAGACUGCACGAUUGGCUCGAAUUCGUGAGUGACACCGCUGAACUAGUACAAUUCUUAGUGCCCGUAAGGCCCGUCCUUAGAUCUUUAAAAAAACUUCAAAUUUUUUAGUGUAGGUGUAUACAAAUAUGUUUACAGGGGUACCUUGGCUAUGAAAUAAACUACAGGUUGCUCUGGCUCCUACACUAGGCUCAGCCUGUCUCGUAGGUAACCCAGACUCAAAUGAGUUCAUACAAUGGGGUUGGCAACUGUCAAAGGUUUGCAUAGAUGGCGCCAUCAUAGCUUGCCCCUGUCUCUAGUUUUGUUCUAUGAGAUUUGGCUUAAAGUACUGGAAUCCAGGUCACAAAAUUCCAAAAAAAAAAAAACAAGAAUUUGACACAAUUCUAGGGAUUGACAGGGCAAGCCAUAAUGGCGCCAUCUGUUUAAUACUUCGACCGGCCAACCCCAUUGAUAAUUAAAGCCUAUAAGAAGAGGAAAUACUAAAAUAUUAUAAUUUUACAGUUAUACAUGUAUGAUAAUGAUGGGACAUGUCAAUUACUAAAGUGAAAAUUAAGGCAGGUACUUUUAUUGUUCAUAUACGAAGAAAAGCCCAUAUUGACAAAUGUUGUUAUCUGUUAUUUUUCUAUAGUUUAACAUACUUUAUACACCUAAGAUACUGUAAAUUAACCGCGUGGAAGAGCGGUGCUCUCUUAGCACAAGUGUUUUCUCACUUAAAAUAUUGUAAUUUGUCUUUUAAGCUACUGAAUAAAAAUAUUUUAUUUUUA
Molecule: long non-coding RNA, 1206 nt
Organism: Cydia pomonella (codling moth)
Lineage: Eukaryota; Metazoa; Arthropoda; Insecta; Lepidoptera; Tortricidae
Exons: 2
Source: RefSeq, a predicted model, not a curated record